This 328-nucleotide unclassified non-coding RNA is filed under the name soil metagenome. RNAcentral's name for it is "partial contains 5.8S ribosomal RNA, internal transcribed spacer 2, and large subunit ribosomal RNA". The stretch from base 1 to 120 matches the Rfam family "5.8S ribosomal RNA", at positions 35 to 154 of the family's 154-position model. The record is from RNAcentral.
GAUGAAGAACUCAGCGAAAUGCGAUAAGUAAUGUGAAUUGCAGAAUUCAGUGAAUCAUCGAAUCUUUGAACGCACAUUGCGCCCCCUGGUAUUCCGGGGGGCAUGCCUGUCCGAGCGUCAUUACAACCCUCAAGCUCAGCUUGGUGUUGGGCCCCGCCGCCCCGGCGGGCCCUAAAGUCAGUGGCGGUGCCGUCCGGCUCCGAGCGUAGUAAUUCUUCUCGCUCUGGAGGUCCGGUCGUGUGCUCGCCAGCAACCCCCAAUUUUUUUCAGGUUGACCUCGGAUCAGGUAGGGAUACCCGCUGAACUUAAGCAUAUCAAUAAGCGGGGA